CUCUAUGGCCAUACCACCCUGGACACGCCUGAUCUUAUCUAUUUUAGAAGCGAAGCAGGGUUGGGCCUGUUACUUGGAUGGGAAUAUCAUCACACAUUAAAUACAAAAUAACCUACAGAAU
RNAcentral lists this ribosomal RNA (121 nucleotides) under Octodon degus (degu). Lineage: Eukaryota; Metazoa; Chordata; Mammalia; Rodentia; Octodontidae. The record is from RNAcentral.